This 450-nucleotide ribosomal RNA is filed under the name uncultured bacterium. Its description in RNAcentral is "partial 16S ribosomal RNA". It matches the Rfam family "Bacterial small subunit ribosomal RNA", at positions 354 to 796 of the family's 1533-position model. The record is from RNAcentral.
GUGGGGAAUUUUGGACAAUGGGCGCAAGCCUGAUCCAGCCAUGCCGCGUGCAGGAUGAAGGCCUUCGGGUUGUAAACUGCUUUUGUACGGAACGAAAAGACUCUGGUUAAUACCUGGGGUCCAUGACGGUACCGUAAGAAUAAGCACCGGCUAACUACGUGCCAGCAGCCGCGGUAAUACGUAGGGUGCGAGCGUUAAUCGGAAUUACUGGGCGUAAAGCGUGCGCAGGCGGUUAUGUAAGACAGAUGUGAAAUCCCCGGGCUAAACCUGGGAACUGCAUUUGUGACUGCAGAGCUAGAGUACGGCAGAGGGGGAUGGAAUUCCGCGUGUAGCAGUGAAAUGCGUAGAUAUGCGGAGGAACACCGAUGGCGAAGGCAAUCCCCUGGGCCUGUACUGACGCUCAUGCACGAAAGCGUGGGGAGCAAACAGGAUUAGAAACCCCGGUAGUCC